GACGAACGCUGGCGGCGUGCCUAAUACAUGCAAGUCGAACGCUUCUUUCCUCCUGGGUGCUUGCACUCGAUUGGAAAGAGGGGUGGCGGACGGGUGAGUAACACGUGGGUAACCUAUCCAUCAGAGGGGGAUAACACUUGGAAACAGGUGCUAAUACCGCAUAACAGUUUAUGCCGCAUGGCAUAAGAGUGAACGGCGCUUUCGGGUGUCGCUGCUGGAUGGACCCGGGGUGCAUUAGCUAGUUGGUGAGGUAACGGUUCACCAAGGCGACGAUGCAUAACCGGCCUGGGGGGUUGAUCGGCCACACGGGAACUGAGACAGGGCCCAGACUCCUACGGGAGGCAGAGGUGGGAAAUUUCGGCCAUGGGCGGAAAGCUGGACCAAGCAAGGCGGGGUGGGUGAAGAGGUUUUCGGAUUGUAAAACACUUUUAGUUGGGAGGAACAGAGGUAUGUUUAAACCAAGCUGCCCUGACGGUACCAAAACAGAAAGCCACGGCUAACUACGUG
This 507-nucleotide ribosomal RNA is filed under the name uncultured bacterium. RNAcentral's name for it is "partial 16S ribosomal RNA". It matches the Rfam family "Bacterial small subunit ribosomal RNA", at positions 28 to 507 of the family's 1533-position model. The record is from RNAcentral.